This 201-nucleotide ribosomal RNA is filed under the name uncultured bacterium. RNAcentral describes it as "partial 16S ribosomal RNA". It matches the Rfam family "Bacterial small subunit ribosomal RNA", at positions 524 to 724 of the family's 1533-position model. The record is from RNAcentral.
UACAGAGGGUGCAAGCGUUAAUCGGAUUUACUGGGCGUAAAGCGCGCGUAGGUGGUUCAGUAAGUUGGAUGUGAAAUCCCCGGGCUCAACCUGGGAACUGCAUCCAAAACUGCUGAGCUAGAGUACGGUAGAGGGUGGUGGAAUUUCCUGUGUAGCGGUGAAAUGCGUAGAUAUAGGAAGGAACACCAGUGGCUAAGGCGA